GCCACCGCCACCGCGGCUGCCUUUAUACCGCGGGCCCGGAGCAUUCCGGCCCCUUGGGAGGGAGACAACAAAGCCGGGAUGGGAUUUCAAAGCGCUGGGAGGGGCUGGGAGGGGGUGUGUUUGUGUACAUGAAGGGGGGCCUUUGACACUCUUCACCCCGCCCCUCCCUUGCUUAGUCGCUCGGCUGGCCCGGCUCACCUUCGGGGUGAAGGCUACCAGCGAGCGUUAUAGCAGACGACUUUAAUAAAUGCAGGCGGCAGCAGGAACUCUGGGAACUUGGGUGCCCUUGCCUGGCAGUAAGGGUUGAAUUAUCCGGAUCUGAAAUACUUUACAGAGCCGAGGGGUGAUAGGCUCUGCAAAAGCACUUUUUGCCCCUCUCCUUUAUGCCAAUACUCGCUGACUGUGCACACAAGUCAUAUUCAGUAUUAAAUACAAACCGGUCUGUAAUUCAAUGGCUCUAGCAAGACGCCUCUGAGAGGGCCAGGUGGCGGGUGCAAGUUGCUCAUUAACCCUUUAGAGUCGCAGUUUGCAGAUCUGAGUUAGAUCCCCGGCUUUGAGGUCCUUCAGUUGCCCUCCUCCCCCACCUCCCCCCGCCACUGCGAGAAAAAUGUGCAAAGAGAAGGAAAUUUGCACAUCAAACGAGGGGCAAUCGCGGCGGUAGAUGAACUUGAUUAGGCAGACGCGUGAGAUCAAAGUGGCCGGGACCAAAGCGGACAGGGUCCAACGUGCCAGCACUGCCAAGAGAAGGCCUUUUGUACUCAGGUUAAAUAAGAACAUCCUGCAAGGAGUCUGUUCUUUUAUGCAGCCUAAAGAUCAAGUAAUAAUCAUUGACACUGAUACUGAGCAUGUCGAUUUUGAAGAGACUAGCAUGAACCUUGAAGAAUCAUGUUCUUCCUAGGAAUUACAAAUCCCCCGAUUCCAUGUCUAACAUAAUUUCUACUGGCCUCUUUGCUUCUCAUGCUUUAGUACCAGUGCUUCUGAAUUUGAAAGUCUUCAUGCAAAUUGCCCAGGUUUGCUGGCAGCUGUGUCUCAGAAAAAGCUGUCUUCAGCAAGGCAGAAGCAGAGGAUCUUCUAGAAGAUUUGCACUAUCAGCUUGGUAUUCAGUUCUCUAGCUUGAAAUGAUUUCAGUGCCUGCUGGCAGUGCCUCCUAUAAAUAUUUAUUAAAAGCGGCAAGAUCACGGAGGUCUCUGGAGCGAAAUCACAGCCAGGUUUUAUGAAAACAGAUCCGAGAAGCUGAGA
RNAcentral lists this long non-coding RNA (1239 nucleotides) under Homo sapiens (human). Its description in RNAcentral is "HSALNT0162732". The record is from RNAcentral. Lineage: Eukaryota; Metazoa; Chordata; Mammalia; Primates; Hominidae.